CAUUCGAGUGGCGGACGGGUGAGUAACGCGUGGGUAACCUGCCUUACACAGGGGGAUAACACCUGGAAACAGGUGCUAAUACCGCAUAAGCGCACAGGGCCGCAUGGCCCGGUGUGAAAAACUCCGGUGGUGUAAGAUGGACCCGCGUCUGAUUAGCUUGUUGGCGGGGUAGGGGCCCACCAAGGCGACGACCAGUAGCCGGCCUGAGAGGGUGGACGGCCACAUUGGGACUGAGACACGGCCCAAACUCCUACGGGAGGCAGCAG
RNAcentral lists this ribosomal RNA (266 nucleotides) under uncultured bacterium. RNAcentral describes it as "partial 16S ribosomal RNA". It matches the Rfam family "Bacterial small subunit ribosomal RNA", at positions 88 to 354 of the family's 1533-position model. The record is from RNAcentral.